CAAGAAUUCAGAUGAAGGACAGUUUACAAAGGACAAGAAUUGGAACAUGAACUUACUGGGAAUUCUUCUGACUUUCAUCCUCACCAUUCUAGCACUUGCCACCAUAGUAGCUCUACUCCUGAAAUAUAUACAACGCAAGAAAAACUUGUUUGGACCUUGCAAUGCAGAACAACAAGAAUGUCUUCUGCAUUGCCAGGAACAGAGAGCUCUAUGUGACAGUUCCAUCUGCCCGACAGAGACCAGUUUUCUCCAACAACUGGCAUCCUUACCACAAGCACAAUCUACGAAGUCCCUCUACCUUCCAAGUGACACAGGAAUGUUUAGAAGAUCAGUAUCACCAGUGAGAACUGAAGAAUUCCAAAAUCUAUCACAGAAGACACAAAAAUGCAUAUGUAUUUCUCAAGGAACCAUGACUCUGCCUUAUGGAGCCAUUGUUCUACCUCCAGGAACUAUUACUAUUCCUCAUAGAACCUUUGCUUUUCCUCAGGGAACCCUAAAUGCAUUUGAGGGAGCCCUAGGUACAACAGAGUAA
Molecule: long non-coding RNA, 532 nt
Filed under: Monodelphis domestica (gray short-tailed opossum)
Lineage: Eukaryota; Metazoa; Chordata; Mammalia; Didelphimorphia; Didelphidae
Description: lncRNA (ENSMODG00000037313.1)
Source: RNAcentral